Molecule: ribosomal RNA, 367 nt
Filed under: Haemaphysalis wellingtoni
Lineage: Eukaryota; Metazoa; Arthropoda; Arachnida; Ixodida; Ixodidae
Description: partial large subunit ribosomal RNA
Source: RNAcentral
UGCUCAAUUGAUUUUUAAAUUGCUGUAGUAUUUUGACUAUACAAAGGUAUUGUAAUAAGACUUUAAUUGAGUGCUAAAAGAAUGGACUUUCAAAAAAACUCUUUUUUAAAUUUAAAAAUUUAAAUUAUUUUUAUUUGUGAAGAAACAAUAAUUUAAAUUAAGGACAAGAAGACCCUAAGAAUUUUAGUAUUUUUCAUAUAAAAUUUUAUAUGUAAAAUGCUUAAUUGGGGCGAUUCAGAAAGAUUAUAAACUUUUUUUUAUAAAUAUGGCCCAUUAUUAAUGAUGUUAUGAAACAAAUACUCUAGGGAUAACAGCGUAAUAAUUUUAGAUAGACCAUAUAGAUAAAAUAGUUUGCGACCUCGAUGUU